RNAcentral lists this ribosomal RNA (495 nucleotides) under uncultured bacterium. RNAcentral's name for it is "partial 16S ribosomal RNA". It matches the Rfam family "Bacterial small subunit ribosomal RNA", at positions 28 to 507 of the family's 1533-position model. The record is from RNAcentral.
GACGAACGCUGGCGGCGUGCCUAAUACAUGCAAGUCGAACGCUGACGGAGGAGCUUGCUUCUCUGGAUGAGUUGCGAACGGGUGAGUGACGCGUAGGUAACCUGCUUGGUAGUGGGGGAUAACUAUUGGUAACGAUACCUAAUAUAGCAUCAUAGUAGAUGUAGCAUUACAUUUGCUUAAAAGUUGCACUUGCAUCACUACCAGAUGGCCCUGCGUUGUAUUAGCUAGUUGGUGAGGUAACGGCUCACCAAGGCCAAGAUACAUAACCGCCCUGAGAGGGAGGUCGACCACACUGGGACUUGGACACCGCCCAGGCUCCUACGGGAGGCAGCAGUAGGGGAUCUUCGGAAAAGGACGGAAGUCUGACCGAGCAACGCCGGGUGAGGGAAGAAGGGUUUCGGAUCGUAAAGCUCUGUUGUAAGAGAAGAACGAGUAGGAGAGUAGAAAGUUCACGCUGUGACGGUACCUAACCAGAAAGGGACGGCUAACUACGUG